Long non-coding RNA from Dromaius novaehollandiae (emu), 7154 nucleotides. RefSeq lists it as uncharacterized. Lineage: Eukaryota; Metazoa; Chordata; Aves; Casuariiformes; Dromaiidae. The record is from RefSeq and is a predicted model, not a curated record. The transcript has 10 exons.
UGGUGCUCCAGCCUGCUCCUUGGGAUAGCACAGCCUGCUCUACCAGAGUUCAGCUCCCCGUCCUGGCCCGCCUCCGCGCCGCGCCGCCUUCCCCCACGGCCAGCUCCGGGAUUUGGGCUCGUAGCCCUGUGUUUGGGACGGGGAAACUGAGGCACGGCGACCUGCUUGCGGCUGUGCUGCACAUCGGCAUCCAGCACCAAAAUCCCGAUUCCCCGUCCUGCGAGCUGGGGCAGGAGGCGGUGGGAAGCCUCGCACGGGCUAUUGCUUACGAUACGGGCUCCUCCGGUUUCUGUCCUGAGAGGCAUGGCUGAUGCGCCGGAGCAGAGGGAGGGUGUGCGGCCGCCCUUCUCUCUAGGAACAGCCUUCAAGACCGCGCAAAAGCAGUAAGUAAUGUGAUCGGGCACUAUGUCAGCUCCCUUCACGCUGAUGAGGGCUUGUAAGGGAAAGAGCACGGCAGGUUUCGUAGGCAAGCCGCAUGGGGGUUUUCGGUGGAACGAUUGCAGCUUGCUGCCCGCCCUGAACCAGCCUCCCACCAACUCGACCUGCUGCCUAGAAGAGGGGGACAGCAGCGACGGAGCCACAGCACCCCAGAGCCCUCUGCCAAACCUCCUGGGACUGGCAGCAGGUGACAGGAGUCUCUCUGCAUUGCUUUUGGACGGGAGCUUGCCGGCCCGCGUGCGCUCUAGUCAGAGCUGGGCUGGGUGGGAGCGGUGCCUGGCACGGCUGGGCUACCCAAGGGCUCGAUGCUCCUCUCACUGCUGUUGAGGUGGGAAUCAGAGUCAUUCCAAUAAAAUCAAGGGUUUUCCAGUAGUGUUGGUGCCAAGCGUGUCCCUCCAAGAGACCGUCCUCUCCAUACCUCCCUUGCCCCAGGCAGCUUCCCGGCAGGACACGGGAGGGUGAGGAGCCAUGUCUCCCUGAUGUCCUUCAGCCCCGACAGCCCCAGGGAGCCUGGCCGAAGCAGCGUCGGAGCCUACGGAUCGGAGCAAGCCGUCCUGGGAGAAAGCGCUCCCUCCAUGAACAUGGCCCAGAGAAAACACGGAAGGUGCAGUGCAGAGGCCCUGGAGAGGACACGUUUGCAGAAGGGACGAGGAAAGACACAUCAUCUUGAACGCCCCACACCUCAGGGCGUGUUUUCAGCAACGUAAAUCCCAGGCUGUCCAUUGAACUUCUACAGAGAGACCGAAUGCAUCGGCAGAAGAGCUGUUGCCUGCUUUGAAUAUUCACGUGUCUGAGGAACCUUGAGUUGCUCUGCCAAGUCUGGGGAAGAUUUGGGGAAAAAACAUGUUCUAUACUGAUCGUUUCCUGCCUCUCCAUCAUAUGACAAUUCCAGGUGGCUGCCAGGGGCGAAAAACUGUGAUGGAGCUUCAAAUACUCAGCUUCAUUCUGGCCUUUCCUAUGGAUAAACUUGCUCCAAAGAGAGCCUGUGAGCACAGCUGAAGCAUGAGCCAGAGGAAACUUUGGAAGCAAAACACUACUCUGUGGUCAUUCCGGGUUUGUGGGCAAACUGCAAAAAAUAGCUUUUUUUUUCUCUCCAGACGUGACAAGAAUCCUCAUAAGAAGCUGUGGUCUCAGAAAGCUGCCAGCCCAGCUCUGCUGGCUCAAGGGCUUUGCUCCCAAUCUCCCUUAAGCCAGAUGGUAUCUCUGGGAUGGUGCCAGAGUGAUCUUGGGAGGCAACGUCAGACGCAGGAGAGCAGAACGGGCUCCUGGAGGCCAGUGUGACUUCACAGCGGUGACACUGGGGACCUUGAACUGACUCCUGGACAAGCAGUGACAGAACUGGAGCCAAAUCCACUGGUCCAGUUUCUGUUCGCUAAGCAGCGGCCGAAACUCCUGUGUCUCUUUCGAGGCGCAGAAUGGGAAUUCCCUGGGGCGAAGGGCUCCCAGUCUGCAGCACCCGGGCGGCACGGACUCAAAAACAUCCUUGUGAGUUUUUCCGCCUUCCCGUCGCCCCCGUCUUUGUCAUCUCCUCCCUGACCGUGCGUGUGGGGUCCGCGGGAUCUCUGCAGUUUGGGCGUGCAGAGAAGGAUGCUUUCCCCUCCGGCUUCCUGCCCCACCAAGCUCAGCCGUCCCCUCUCGCUGCUGCUGCUCCUUGCGCGUCCCAGAGCCGCCGUCCUGCCGGCCAGUGAUGAGGGACGGGGAUCACCGAUCGUUGUUUCUUCGCUGCUCAGGAAUGGCUGUGCGGGAAUAGAUACCCACCCCAGCAGCUGGCAGCAGUCACGCCAGCGGCGGGGAGCGGAUGAUCUCUUUCCAACCAAGAACCGGGCAGCAAGUGAAAUGGGGCUUUUUUGAUAAGUGGAGCAUGUCAUCAGCAAGCUGUUAACCCAGGAGCCCUCCGGAUGGGCAGGAUGGGCACCGCGGUCCUGGGCGCCGCUGGGCUGUGCCAGCCCUGCCGUUCCCGCGCUCCUUAACCCCUUCUGCACCUUGUCACUGGGAUUAUCUCAGCUGCUCCCAGGAUGGGAAACGACGAAACUGCUUCCCUUGCUCCAGACAAACUCGCCCGGCUCAUCCGCAGCAGCAUCGCAGCCCUCAUGUGACUGUAAGUUUAGGGGGUAGGGGGAAAAGGAGUGAUUUGUCUGUAUAGUUGGGAUUUUAUUUGCAUUUUAAAUCACGUUCUUCUGCUAAACUAAUGGACCCCCUAUUUAUAGAUGACUCCAACAUAAAGUGACUGCUAAUUACUACAAUUAAUAUAGCGUUAAAGGCUUGCCAGCCAACUCCACUGCAACUUGUAUCGCCUACUCAUUUUCAAUUAAGGCACAUUGACAAGUAAAAUACGCAGUUAUUAAGAGCAGAGCCCUGUUGUGUAAUUACAUUUUUCUGAGGUCAUUAAUCUCCUGCAAUAUAAAGUUUUUUACCCAGUGGCCGGAGCGAGGGGCAGUUGUGAGGGACAGCGAGCCCAUCAGAGACGGUGGCGGUGUUCAGGGAAGGUAAAAGAGGUUGAUAUUUCUCAUGGUGUCAUCAGGCCAUGUGUGCAUGCCUCGGAUAAUCCGUCGGACCAUCGUGUCUGUGGCCAGCGGGUCCUCUGCUAAGCGACCAGGCCCUGAGUGCGCUGAUUGCCGGCGAAAGGAGCUCUUUCCAUGCUAAGGUGAGGUAGAAAAGCCCCGUGUCUGCAGAGCGCUCAGGUGAGGCUAUCGCUGCGGGUUCGCGUGUGUGGUUAUUCCCCUUGCAAACAACGGCACUGUGCUGAGAUCGAGGUUAGGGAUCCGGCGGCUCUGUCUCAUGGCUUGUUUCCGUGAAAUUUAAGUGUUAAAAGCCUCUCAAUACCACCGCAGUGAUUUUGCCUCCGGAGGGAGAGCGCAAUUUUGGAGAUGGGCUCCCGCACGUCAGGCCGUAGCGGGUGCUGGUGAGGACGAGCACCGCAGCAGGACGAGUGCGGUGUCACUCGGGUGCCAGCUCUGCCGCGACUGCAGACAGGGUCAGCUCCUUGCAGCUCAUUUCCUUCCCUGUUAUGUGGCCAGAAGGAUGCUUACCCCUUUGCAAAGCCUCGGAGACCGUGGUUAUGAACUGCUAUCAGUGCACGGGGGUUUUCGGAAGUGUCCCAGGACUCCGGUGCAAAACUCCCCCCAGUUUAACCAAGGUUUGUUGUUAACCCCAACGUUUAUUAUUGCCCCCAGGGCUCUCUGGAGCCACCCAGGCUGGGCUGGGCGUUGAACGCUCCUCCUCGGUGGCAGGUUGAAGAUGCCGCGUGGGAUCCUGCGGGCCUCCUACUUCCCCUCGCUGGGCUAGCGCGAGGGUGGUGACAGCUCCUGCGCACCGAGGCUGGGCUGGGGAUGUCGAGCUCAGAUCCACGACUUGACUGACACAAAAGCUUUCCAGCUUUGGAGACUGAAAGAGACAAAUGAGCAAUUUUCCGGGAAAUUAUCCUUUGGGAUUCCUCCUCUCUCCAGGCAGCUUAAUUGGUGCUACCAGCUGCUGUGCCUCAUCCAUGAGGGGCUGCUCCUGGCAGCGAUAGCGAGCCAUCAAGCCCAAGCCCGUCUCCCUGCUCCGAUGGAGGAGCCAGCUGGAGUCAGACCAAGGCGGAAAGUGUCAACGGGAAGGGACGCACUGCGGGUCUCUGGGCAGAGCUGGCUGGAGGUGCUGAGGGUCCGAAGUGCUCGGUGCUGUUUCUGAGAGUCUCUCCUGGCUGCGGCCCCACCACUGGCCUGCGUUUGCACAGCCCAGACAACAUCUGUAAUUCCAGCUUCUGCAGGGGCAAGUCCAGCCUGGGUGCAAGAGGGGGCAGCUACUGCUCCCCUUAAUCGCUGCUCCCAGUGCAGCUGCAGUGGGCUUUCAGCUGAGCAGCAAGAACCAGAUCUUUUGCUUUUGAAACGUGGUCUAAAACACCUUGUCCUUCUACCGUCCCUCUCUGAGCUGAAGGAUCUUUCACUCCCAUGCAGAAGGGACCUCCAAGGGCCAAGUGCUCACUCCUGGGCCAUGGGAUUCGGGGAAAAAGACUUCCCCAAAGUACCUCUUGGCAGUUGGAAAGUGCUUGUGCAGAGGUAUGCUCGUUCACACUUGGACUCUCUUGUGCAAACCUGGCUUUUGUCGCAAGCUGAUGCCACCCAAAGCCAGCAACAGCUGGGAUGGCUUAUUGUUACCGUGAAAUAGUGGCCAAUGAUUGUGGUGUUAAUCAGGCUCUUUAUGGCCCUCUGCAAAGCUACCCAAUGAAAUAUUUUGUCUCCCAUAUUUUCUGCGGCUCCUCCAGCUGCUCGGCUUCAGCUGCAGGGCAAGAGCUGGCGGCGAGGCGGCUCAGGUGCCCGCAGCCGGCUGCCUCCGAGGAAGCGGGUCUGGGACUGGGGCUGCGGCACCCAGCGCAACUGAGGGCCCAGGGUGAAUCGCGUGAUCGCUUUGGAGCCAAAACGCAGUGCUCGGGGCUUCCCGAAGGACCCCCAUACAUAAAUGAUGCUGAGGGGACCAGAGCUGCCGGGAGAGCUUUGGGAAGGCAGGACGAGGUGUCUCUGCCCUGGAUGCUGGAGUCUGCGUGUGGCCGUCAUGGCCUGUCCCCUGGGUGCGAGGCUGCUCCCUAAUCUGGCACCCAGCCGAGCAUCGUCCCCGCUGCUCCAUGCUCCGCCGAAACGGCUCCCUGAGCUCCUGAGGCCGCGACAAGGUGCUCCUGCCAUUAAUCACCCCCUCCAAGUGGCGUCUGCGGAGGAAUUAAACUCAUUUGUCACUGUUGCCCUGUUCUCACCCGCCCUUCUCCCAGUGCGCUCGUCUCAUGGGACCCGCUGCUCACGGUAGCCCCGUGUCCCCCGAUGUCCUCGGGCGUCCUUCAUCCAGCAGUCCCAGGGCAAGGCUGAGCCGUUUCUGUGCUCAGCACCCACCCUGAAACCACCAAGGCACCGGGGGAAACCCCCGCUAGCUGCGAGGCUGAGCCAACCCCUUUGCUCCACCAAAGCCUCUGGGAGAUGUUAACGAGUGUCAUGUGUCCUGCCUGUCCCUGUGGUCAGGAUUGAAGUGUCCUCCCCUGCCCCAAGCUGCUCAGUGUCCCGCGCCACAUGCAAAACCUCAGCCAGGACCGUCACUCACAGAGCAACAGGUUUGUUUUCACCCUCCUCCAUCCCCCGGUGCUAUGCAACCUCGCCACGCUCGCUAAAACCCGCUCCGGCGGCGUCGCGCUCUGGCUUGCAGCACGGCCCCUGGGAGCGCUCCCCUGGUAGCGAACAAGAGCUGCUCAUUAAUUAGCCUCCCGUUACUCCAGAGCAUCCCCUGCAAUAAUGCACGGCUCCUGCCUUUUAACUGCCUACAAGCGAUCACUCAGCCUCCAAUAGAAAAAGAAGGAACAAGCCCCUCGUCAUGUCGUUAGCAAUAAUUUUCCUGGCUGUUAACCUGCUCCUCUGCUCUAAUUUUUCACUAUACAGCCCCAGAGGCCGUGGGGAAGGCUGGGAGCCAAGCGCAGCGCCAGGCCCGCUGCUGACCUGGUACUAGUUACCCUGAGCCAGGCUUUUAGAGGGGUUCAGGGUUGAGCUCCUUUAAAGGGAAUUAGCUGGAAGCAUCUCCUAAAUCCCCGUGGCAUUUCAUGUGUGGCAAUAGGAAAUGCAGCCAGGAUUUACACUGCCGAUAGUUCCUGCAUGGCUGGAUCUCCGUGGAAAGCUAGCGUGCAAGGCGCUGUACGGCCCCGGCCGGGGGCACGUGGCUGCAACGGGACCGCAGCGACGGGAACCUGCAGCUGCGCUGGGCUCGGUGGCACUGCUGGGGCUCCCCGCGGCGGUCUGCCUUGGGCAGGCAGCGAAGAGCCUACCGAUUUGUGCGAAAAAGGAUGGAAAAUGUGAAUGACUGUAAUUGGGGGGUUUUGCAUUAGUCCUGGAAAUCCCAUGUCGGUCUCAGAAAUGCAGUCUCUGCCCCUAAACGUCUUAUAGUCCAAGGAAAAUACAGUGCUGUCGGGGAUGUCAGCCUUGCUGGGCAAGUCCCAAGGAGCCGGCUGUUUUCUUCUCUUGUUGCCUGCAAAUCCCCGACACGCUUAAAGCCUCCCUCCUGAUAGGGAGCCUAGCGCCUGAGCUCUGCAUAAACCUGCGCAAACUCGGCGGCUUAGCGUGCCGAAUGUAAUGUUCUCAGCCAGCCUCAUCUCUGCAAAUCUCCAUAUUUCCAAGGGAUAAACAUUCACCUCUCCUCCCUCCGGCUCUCACCUUAUUACCGAUUUUUCCAGCGUCGGUGUGGCAUCAGGCUCUAACCGCUGGAAGGGCAGCGGCCAGCCGGGUUUGGGGGCAGUGACGCGGGGGACUGCGGGGUCCUGCUCCGGGCUGGCCGGGCUCCCUAACGCGCAGGGCUGAUGCUGCAAACCCGACUGCAGACCUGCGUGGGGUUUAGACGAGAGGUGAGGCUGGGGCAGAGCAGGCUCCAAGCCCCGAGACACCAACCGUUCGCUCCUGGCCGGGCCGUCAGAUGCCUGCAGCUCUCCAGCCCCAUCCCAGGGCAGUGCGCACAUGGAUGGGGGGGGAAGAGGUGCUGAGCUGGUGGCAGGAGGAGGAGGAGGGGGACGGACAGAGCUUGUUCCUAAAGUACAGGGGGAGGCCGAGGAUGUAGAUCACCAGAAUUGGCCGGGGACAGGCCAUAAAACAAAAAUAAAAAGGUAUUAUAAUUUAUGAUGCACACUAAAAAUAUCCUGGGACCCUGGGUUAUGAAGAAGGAUUCAUUCUCUUGUUGACUCGGUGUAUCUUUAAAGAUGAUAAAUGACAUUAUAA